This 336-nucleotide unclassified non-coding RNA is filed under the name soil metagenome. RNAcentral's name for it is "partial contains 5.8S ribosomal RNA, internal transcribed spacer 2, and large subunit ribosomal RNA". The stretch from base 1 to 120 matches the Rfam family "5.8S ribosomal RNA", at positions 35 to 154 of the family's 154-position model. The record is from RNAcentral.
GAUGAAGAACGCAGCGAAAUGCGAUAAGUAAUGUGAAUUGCAGAAUUCAGUGAAUCAUCGAAUCUUUGAACGCACAUUGCGCCAGCCAGUAUUCUGGCGGGCAUGCCUGUUCGAGCGUCAUUUCAACCAUCAAGCCCCCGGCUUGUGUUGGGGACCUGCGGCUGCCGCAGGCCCUGAAAACCAGUGGCGGGCUCGCUGUCACACCGAGCGUAGUAGAUUUUCAUCUCGCUCAGGGCGUGCUGCGGGUUCCGGCCGUAAAAAGCCUUAUUUACCCAAGGUUGACCUCGGAUCAGGUAGGAAGACCCGCUGAACUUAAGCAUAUCAAUAAGCGGAGGA